This 442-nucleotide ribosomal RNA is filed under the name uncultured bacterium. RNAcentral's name for it is "partial 16S ribosomal RNA". It matches the Rfam family "Bacterial small subunit ribosomal RNA", at positions 338 to 795 of the family's 1533-position model. The record is from RNAcentral.
CCUACGGGUGGCAGCAGUGGGGAAUAUUUGGCAAUGGGCGCAAGCCUGACCCAGCAACGCCGCGUGAAGGAAGAAUGCUUUCGGGUUGUAAACUUCUUAUAAGAGGGAAGAGCAGAAGACGGUACCUCUUGAAUACACCACGGCCAACUACGUGCCAGCAGCCGCGUGAAUAAGUAGGUGGCAAGCGUUGUCCGGAUUUACUGGGUGUAAAGGGCGUGUAGCCGGGCUGACAAGUCAGAUGUGAAAUUCCGGGGCUCAACCCCGGACCUGCAUUUGAAACUGUUGGUCUUGAGUAUCGGAGAGGCAGGCGGAAUUCCUAGUGUAGCGGUGAAAUGCGUAGAUAUUAGGAGGAACACCAGUGGCGAAGGCGGCCUGCUGGACGACAACUGACGGUGAGGCGCGAAAGCGUGGGGAGCAAACAGGAUUAGAUACCCUUGUAGUC